RNAcentral lists this ribosomal RNA (774 nucleotides) under uncultured Neocallimastigales. RNAcentral's name for it is "partial large subunit ribosomal RNA". It matches the Rfam family "Eukaryotic large subunit ribosomal RNA", at positions 24 to 649 of the family's 3401-position model. Lineage: Eukaryota; Fungi; Neocallimastigomycota; Neocallimastigomycetes; Neocallimastigales. The record is from RNAcentral.
UACGACUACAUAUCAGGCAUAUCAAUAAGCGGAGGAAAAGAAACUAACAAGGAUUCCCUUAGUAACGGCGAGUGAAGCGGGAAGAGCUCAAAUUUGAAAUCUUCAAGGUUCUACCUUGACGAAUUGUAGUUUAAAGAAGUGUUUUCUGUUAGAUGAGUAGCAAAAGUUCCUUGGAAUGGGACAUCAUAGAGGGUGAGAAUCCCGUAUUUGGUUAUUCAUUCUAGCUUUGUGAUACACUUUCGAAGAGUCGGAUUGUUUGAGAAUGCAGUCCAAAAUGGGUGGUAAAUUUCAUCUAAAGCUAAAUAUUGGCGAGAGACCGAUAGCGAACAAGUACCGUGAGGGAAAGAUGAAAAGAACUUUGAAAAGAGAGUUAAACAGUACGUGAAAUUGUCAAAAGGGAAGCGUUUGACACCAGUGUUGUUUUUCCGAAAGUCAAUUACGAAUGGCUUGAUUUUGUGUUGUAUUGACCUUAUCAGCUUUCUUCACUUUUUUCGAGUCUUUCUUAAUGCACUUUUCGGUUAACAAGUCAACAUCAAUUUCUUUUGUUGUAAAAGAGUAUUCGGAAGGUGGCUUUCUUUUCGGAGAAAGUGUUUAUAGCCCUAUACUUCUACACUCGGAGAGAUUGAGGUCUGCAGCGUAGAUCCUUCGGGGUUAGAUACAUUUGUGCUAAGUUGUAGCUUUUCAUAGACAACUUGUUGACUAUGUUUAGUCAUGCGGCUUACUCGCUUAUGCUAUUUUACCUACGCUUAGGAUGUUGAGUAGCGACAUACGCAC